Molecule: long non-coding RNA, 759 nt
Filed under: Cricetulus griseus (Chinese hamster)
Lineage: Eukaryota; Metazoa; Chordata; Mammalia; Rodentia; Cricetidae
Description: lncRNA (ENSCGRG00015037881.1)
Source: RNAcentral
CAGCAAGUCCUAGGUCAGCCUGAGCCACAUGAGACCCUGAAAGGCCACAACAAAUACAUUUUACUCCUCAUGGACAAAAGCUGGAAUAGAACCAGCAACAGAAACAGAGCAGUGUAUGCAAGAGGCUCAAAAAAUAACCCAUGUGUCUCAAAAACUGGGAGGACCACUCCUGGUUGUGGGGAGCACUACCAGGACUGGGAGAUGGCUUCAAGGGGACAGAGGUGAGGUUGAGCCAUGGCUGUGAAGAUGAAGAGAGAAGACUAGCUCGCCUCCAUCCCACCAUUUUAUGUCACUGCUCUGAGGAGACAAAUGACUACUACUUCAAAACGCCUCACAUUUCAGUUCCACGUUAUCACACUACAGUGACUUCUAGAUAAGGAUGCCCGGGCUUCACAGCAUCCUGAGACGUGUUUCUGAACACAGCAUCGUUGCCAUCCAGCCAGUGUCCUCUGGAUCUCCUCGAGAGGGAUGGAAUCUGCAGGACAGCCAGCUCUGCUGUGUUUCUCUUUCUUUUUCUUUCUUUUCUGAGACAGGUUCCCAACAGUGCAGCUCUGGCCGACUUACUAUGCAGAUCAAGAUGCCCUUGAACUCACCAAGAUCUGCCUGCCACUGACUGCCUCCUUGUCUCCCAAAUCCUGGGAUUAAAGGCUUGUGCCAUCACAAAGUUCUGCUUACUAUCAUUGUUGUUACCAUUAUUAUUGUGUUUGGCAGGGUCUCAUGUCACCCAAGAUGCCAGCCAAGGAUGACCUUGGACUUCUG